This 522-nucleotide ribosomal RNA is filed under the name uncultured Desulfocella sp. Its description in RNAcentral is "bacterial SSU rRNA". It matches the Rfam family "Bacterial small subunit ribosomal RNA", at positions 12 to 510 of the family's 1533-position model. Lineage: Bacteria; Pseudomonadati; Thermodesulfobacteriota; Desulfobacteria; Desulfobacterales; Desulfobacteraceae. The record is from RNAcentral.
UUUGAUCCUGGCUCAGAACGAACGCUGGCGGCGUGGAUUAGGCAUGCAAGUCGAACGUGAAGGAGGCUUCGGCCUCUGGAAAGUGGCAAACGGGUGAGUAACGCGUGGAGAACCUUCCCUGAAGUGGGGGAUAACACUCCUAACGGAGUGCUAAUACCGCAUGUGUCUGCGGGGUCGCAUGGCUCUGCAGGUAAAGGUGGCCUCUAUUUAUAAGCUACCGCUUCUGGAUGGCUCUGCGUCCCAUUAGCUUGUUGGCGAGGUUACGGCUCACCAAGGCGACGAUGGGUAGCUGGUCUGAGAGGAUGGUCAGCCACACUGGGACUGAGAUACGGCCCAGACUCCUACGGGAGGCAGCAGUCGAGAGGCUUCGGCAAUGGGGGCAACCCUGACCGAGCGACGCCGCGUGGGCGAUGAAGGUCUUCGGAUCGUAAAGCCCUUUCAGGUGGGAAGAAAGGUGGGCGGGUGAACAAUCCGCUCGCUGUGACGGUACCGCCAGAAGAAGCUCCGGCUAACUCCGUGCCA